Long non-coding RNA from Hippocampus zosterae (dwarf seahorse), 1223 nucleotides. RefSeq lists it as uncharacterized. The transcript is spliced from 2 exons. Lineage: Eukaryota; Metazoa; Chordata; Actinopteri; Syngnathiformes; Syngnathidae. The record is from RefSeq and is a predicted model, not a curated record.
GUUCCCAAAAGAAGAUAACACAAGAAACCCGUUGUUCCACUUGAACAAGAAGCACCCAAGUCAUCAAGUGGAAAGCAUGAAAAAAUGCGAGCAGAGUUUGCACACCUCGCUGACGGAAAAAGUUCGCGGUUUAGUCGCUAAAAAGCUAAAAAUUAGUCGCAAUGACGCGAACACCCUAUUAUGGUCAACAUUUCCAAAGUAUUAUUAAGAGAUUAUGAGGCGUAUUUAUCAUUCACGAUUGGUCCAUUUUUAGAAGCGUUAUUUUAUGUGACUCUGCGUUUGUUGUACAGUAGAAUGGCACAGUUUGAAAUCAAUGACAAAAUCGACGGUAAAUUGUUCUCUUUCAUCAUCUUUGUAGUCAGUAGCGGUGCUUUAAAAGUGGCAAUUUAAAAGCUAUGAAAAAAACGGGUGUCGCUCCGCGAACAACACGUAGUUCUCCGAACCGGUCCGUUACACAAACAAUGGUUCGGGGACCACCGCUUUACGGGGUCUUUCAAAAUCAGAACAGAAAAUGUUGACUUGGCGAGAUUUGAGAUCUUUUCUUCCCCGCUUUCAUAGUGGAGGCGUUCAUGCGCCAGAAGUGAAAUGAAAGCGAAAGCAGUUCAGAGUUGCUCCACUUGGCAUAAUUCCACACCCGGACCGCACGUGUGUGACAAGAGAAAGAGUUCGGCACUUUGCCAAGCUUUUGCUGCGUCUUGGGCGCUUGUCGCGGACGCCGACUCCGACGCUAGGGGCGGGGAGCUUUUUUUGGCUGCCGGUGUGGCGUUGGUCAACCUCGGCGAGCUCCCCACGGCGCCGGCUCGUUUCCUCGCCUUGCACAACGCGCUCGCCGCCGCCCCGGAGAGCCUCGCCGCCGCCUUGGGGCUCGGCAACCCCCCGUGCGCCGGAGCCUCGCUGUGGGAAGUCGGAGUGCCAGACUCUCCGAGUGGCCGGAGACAGAAGCGCCAAAAGCCGCGAGUUUUGUUCAUGAGGGUGCUUCGCAUGUACAGGCCGGACUUGGCUCUGCUGCUCGGAGGGUGGGAUCCAGAUCCGGUAUUACAUGGGCAAGGUAAUUGACAACCUGCGUGAGGAUUUCGAGCCGGAUGACUUCUUGUCAGCACUGCUUCUCAUGGGCGUGUUCUCAGUGGGAAGGCGAGAAGAAGUAUCCUGACCCCCAAAAUUUCAGAGCCCUGCAUAAUCCAGGCGCAGAUGAAACAUACUUAUCACGUGUACGCCUAAAUGCC